Molecule: long non-coding RNA, 1063 nt
Organism: Peromyscus eremicus (cactus mouse)
Lineage: Eukaryota; Metazoa; Chordata; Mammalia; Rodentia; Cricetidae
Exons: 3
Source: RefSeq, a predicted model, not a curated record
AAGAAGGGUUCAGUAGGAAUGUAAGAAGGAUGAGGGAUAUUGGUGAAAGUAUACUAUACAAUACUAUACUAUACUAUACUAUGCAGAUAUAGAUACAUAUACAUACACACACACACACUGGGAAAAAUAAUUUAACAAACUAGGAUUAGGCUCUGGCUAGUGGUAAAAUCAACAAAGGCAUAAGUAGGAUCUGUUGCGUGUGUGAGCAGAUAUUGGACAGUGUGAGGAUAAGGGAGCACACAGGUUUUCCAGAACAAACUGGCACAGCCACUGAAGACACACUGUACAGUCCAAGGCCGUGACUCAUUGUUUUCAAUAGAGAAGAACUGGCUGGGUGUGGUCAGGCACUAACUGAGGCUGGUGAGAACCUGAUUCUAUCUCUUUCAGAAAAGGAGCUUCUUAGCUGAGACAGUCCUUUGAACAUUUUCCAAGGUCCAUCACGGGUGGACACUGAGCAGCAGAGGAAGGGAUGCAUGCCGGGGCUCUCCAUGAGAACCUGCUUGAAUCUGAAGGUGACUUUUGUGAAUGAAGCCCUCUCCAGAUCAUGUGCUGCAGUUAAAGCAGUCCAGUGGCAGCUGGAGGAAGGUUCUAAGAGGAGCAAGCUCUCCACUCCUGGGGUGCCCUGCUGACAUGCUCAAAGCGGAGGAGUUGCUGGCGAGAUGAUGGAGCCAUCAAUGAGGAAGAAGGCUUCAAGGACUUGAGAGUUUGUAAUACCAAGAGGGUGAAGGAAUGAAAACUUCCCCUGCUGUGAUGAAAUCUAAAUGGACCUGGCCUCUGUUGGAAGAGUAAGUCAUGAGACCUGUGCACCUUGAGCUAUGCAUCCUGACCAGGGCUCUUUCCUUCCAGGGCUCCCACUGCCUCUUUCUUACUCAUUCCUUCUACAAAACAUGGAGAAAUGGGCCAAUAUUCCACGAGCAGGCAGUUUCUUCCAACUAGGGGGUAACAACUAGGGUUGCCAAGGUUUCUGUUUCAUUUUUUUAACAUUUGGUAUUUUAUUUUCCUUCAUCUGUUUGCUGAUAUCUGACAAAGAACCUACUUCCUUUCAUUAAAAAAGAAAAUAAAA